This 253-nucleotide ribosomal RNA is filed under the name uncultured bacterium. RNAcentral describes it as "partial 16S ribosomal RNA". It matches the Rfam family "Bacterial small subunit ribosomal RNA", at positions 524 to 776 of the family's 1533-position model. The record is from RNAcentral.
UACGUAGGGUGCGAGCGUUAAUCGGAAUUACUGGGCGUAAAGCGUGCGCAGGCGGUUCGCCAAGUCAGGUGUGAAAUCCCCGGGCUUAACCUGGGAAUUGCGCUUGAAACUAGCGGGCUUGAGUGUGGCAGAGGGGGGUGGAAUUCCACGUGUAGCAGUGAAAUGCGUAGAGAUGUGGAGGAACACCGGUGGCGAAGGCGGCAUCCUGGACCGGCAUUGACGCUGAGGCGCGAAAGCUAGGGGAGCAAACGGG